Molecule: long non-coding RNA, 202 nt
Filed under: Elaeis guineensis (African oil palm)
Lineage: Eukaryota; Viridiplantae; Streptophyta; Magnoliopsida; Arecales; Arecaceae
Description: long non-coding RNA (EGUI_LNC002727)
Source: RNAcentral
CCCCUAAUUGGCGUAUAGAUUCCGGAUUGAUGGAGCAUAACAUUGUUCGACCUCUCCCACACUUAUGCAUGCAUGGCAGAUCCACACACGAUACUCAAACGGACUACCCAGAAUCGUCUCAACGAUGGCUACUUGUCCUCCGCUAGCUCUCAGCGAAAAAUCCCCAGGAAUCAGUUCUUGUUCGUUAUGGAGCUCGAUGCUC